GGUCGAAAGGGGAAAUUCAUUCGCGUUUCGACUGUCGGCGAUAGGUGAGCUAGUGACGGAUGGCGUUCGCGUCGUCUGCGCAGUUCAUUUAUCGAACUGGCGUCGAACGCGUGCACUUUUCCCCUAGUAGGACGUUGCGAUCCGUUGGGUGUCGGUCUAAGGCUCGAGGUGGAGCCCACGUGGACGUUUCGGCGUUCUGCGUGGACCCUCGGUGUCCCGGCCGACUCGCUCGACGGUAUAAUGAUGGCGCGGGGCCGCUACAUAGUUAGCGUUCGGCUCGUGGCAAGCACGUUCGGUGUUUGACGGCGAUCGGACCUAGUGCCGAUCCUGUCCCCGUUCGACUGUUGGCUGCGAUGUUCUCGAACAGACCUCG
Molecule: ribosomal RNA, 373 nt
Filed under: Trachymela sp. BMNH 704391
Lineage: Eukaryota; Metazoa; Arthropoda; Insecta; Coleoptera; Chrysomelidae
Description: partial 28S ribosomal RNA
Source: RNAcentral